Molecule: unclassified non-coding RNA, 348 nt
Filed under: soil metagenome
Description: partial contains 5.8S ribosomal RNA, internal transcribed spacer 2, and large subunit ribosomal RNA
Rfam family: 5.8S ribosomal RNA (bases 1-120)
Source: RNAcentral
GAUGAAGAACGUAGCGAAAUGCGAAAAGUAAUGUGAAUUGCAGAAUUCAGUGAACCAUCGAAUCUUUGAACGCACAUUGCGCCCGCUGGAACUCCGGCGGGCACGCCUGUCCGAGCGUCAUUUCAACCCUCAGGCCCCCCUUCGCGGGCGGGCCUGGUGUUGGGGCCCGGCCGCUACCCUGCGGCCGUCCCCUAAAUCCAGUGGCGGCCUCGCCGUGAUCCCUUGCGUAGUAAUGCACCUCGCACCGGAGAGCGCCGUUGCCACGCCGUAAAACCCCCAAUGUUCAAUGGUUGACCUCGGAUCAGGUGGGAAUACCCGCUGAACUUAAGCAUAUCAAUAAGCGGAGGA